Long non-coding RNA from Biomphalaria glabrata, 2805 nucleotides. RefSeq lists it as uncharacterized. Lineage: Eukaryota; Metazoa; Mollusca; Gastropoda; Planorbidae. The transcript is spliced from 4 exons. The record is from RefSeq and is a predicted model, not a curated record.
UAUAUUCAUGAAUACGUGUUAGAAAUUCUAGAUAUCUAUAAACUAGACAGUAUAAUAUAGAUCCAAAUCUAGAUUAUCAUAUAAUAUGUAGAUCUAGCUAGAAGGUCUAGAGUAGGGGUGCACCGGAUAGCACAUUUUGAUAUCCGGCCCCGGUCGGAUAUGACCGGAUAGUAAAAUUUGAUAUUCGGCCGGGGCCGGAUACCUAAGUGUCUUGUUAAUAGCUUGUGUUGCUGAACAUUUUACUUAACUGUUAAAUAACAUACCUAUAUUGGUUGGUUUUAUUUUUUUUCCCUUUUAUAUACCUUAUUGUUUUAAACUCUGUUACUGAUUGAUUUUUUUAAACUUAACAGUAUUUCUAAAAACCUGUAUAGCAUGAGUGUGUCUGUGUGUAUGUAGGAUGCCACCAACUGUAAAGGAUGUGUGCAGAAAGGUCAAUGUAAAUAAUGUUAGUAUAUAUUUAGCUAGUUACUAAUGUAAAUCUCAUAAGUAAAAUGCAAUCUGCCUUGUAUAGUGGUCGGAUGUAUGUGUUCAUGAAUUUCAGACCAACAACCUGGUCAGAUAUACCUAGUGAGCCUACACAUGUAGUCCUAAUGUAGUGUGUAUAGUUGUUUGUGUUAACCAUCAAGCAUUGUUUUUUCCUUGAGCAUACGCACGCAAUAUAGUUGGGUGUCAGUCAAAAAAGAUAACACAUUGGCAUGGUCAGUCAAGCAUAUAGAUAAAUUAUGCCCGUUCACUAGUUAGAGGUCAAGGGUUUUUUUGUUUUUUUUUUUACGCUCCAGCAUAUUGUUUCUUUGUUUGCUAGAUCUAACUGCGGUACUAUUAUUCAAUUUAUUUUAUGCGAUUUACAAAUUUACUGUAGGGUUUUCCGUUAUUUAUUAAGUCAAAAGAAUUAAACAAUGAAAUUAGCUUUCUUUCUAAAGGUUUUAAUACAAAGCAAAAAAAUACACACACGCAAACAUGCACAUCUUUGUUUUAUUUUAUUGUGCAAAGAACGUACGUAAGAAACAUUAAAUGCAAAGAACGUAUGUUAGAAACAUCUUCCUUAAUUAUUUAAUUAAUUUAAUUAUUUAACCGUACUCUUUAUUGACAGUGUAAUAUCCUUUGUUAGCACGUUGUGUUUUUUCAUUCUGGCUUAAAAAUGGUCAAUGUCUAUCAAUAAAUUGGGUGUCAAGGACCAAAGAAAUAAAAUAAAGAGUAGGGGGUGUUUAGCUCUCCAUUUAAAGAUAGCCCUUGUCGUGUCUUCUACAAAAUAAUUAGUUACUGGCUUACUGGGCUAUAUAAUCUCGCGGUUUGUGUUCUGUGUAGCUAAAGGUCACUCGUUUAGGUGCGUGUGAUCUUUAGUCCAGCUUACUAAUUGAGAUUUAUGUUCAAGUAACUCGGCACACUUGAAAAGGUGUGGCCUCUAGCCCAAACCACGUGAUUAAGAUUUUUCUCCAAAUAAGCAAACUCUUUGUCCGGAUACCCGUGUAGAUGUUGAGCUUGAAGUCCAGUCCCCCCCCCCCCCAAAUAAGAUUAACUUCUAAGUAAAGAAACAUAGUUCCCUCGUGUGACCUCUAGAGAGUGCUUACGUCCAUCGUAUUUGACUUGGGGUCACCUGUCAAUCAAUGAACUCAAUGUGAUGAACUAAACAAAUAAAAGGGGGAGGGAGUUGUUCAUCUGGAAAUAUACCUAGUUAAAUUAGAGGUGUGGCUCUUGUAGUCCAGCCCCCACUAAUAAAGAUUUACUACUAAGUAAACAAACUCAGUUCCCUCGACAGGUGUGACCUCUAGAGAGUGUCAGGUGUGACCUCUAGAGAGUGUCAAUACGCUGACAUGAAACCUACGUCCAUCGUAUUUAACUUGUGGUCACCUGCCUAUAAAAAAAAACUUAAUGUGAUGGACUAAACAAAUAAAAGGGGUGGGAGUUGUUAAUCUCUACCUCUGGAGAUAUACCCGCACAGCUAGACAGACGUCUGGUCAGCAUGACGUAGUCAAGGAAUGUAGCAUUUUAACAUGUUAACUAACCUACUCAAAAGUCAAGACAAAUUGAAAAAAGUGUCAGCCAUUGCUGCUCUGUAUGUAAAGCGCAUUUAUGAUGUAAAGUUUCAUUUCUAUUUAUAUUAAGUUAUUAACACGUCUUGUCUUUAUAAUAAACGAUGUUUGGAGCAUAUUCAUAAUGGCUCUAUUUUUAAGAACAUUAUUUUGUUUUAAUAUAAACAUUAAUACAUUCUACAACAGACAUUAAUGGAACGAGGUCCACUUUAUGCAUAUUAAAUAGGUGUAUUUUUUACUAUCCGGUAGUGAUAUCCGACCGGAGCCGAAUAGCACCGGAUAGUAAAAAAUGCCGGAUAUUCGGCAGAAGCCGGAGCGACUAUCCGGUGCACCCCUAGUCUAGAGGUCUAUUAAUACUAAUGGACCUCAUUCACCAAUCGUAAACAAACAACAUUUAGCCACGUGACAGCCUUAAACAGAAAAGUUCAUAGUAAGUAUUAAACCCAAUUCAGCCCUAUUCUAAGGAGUGCGAAGUUGCUUUCAAGUAAGAGAUCAGAAUGAUCUAUGCAUGCACUACAGAUGCUGUUCUUUUCACAAGGAAGCCUGCUCAAGAAGGGAAGAAAAAUUAUAAUUCCUUUUAAGAUUACCGAUCAGUAACCCGAAAAAAAGUUUUAAUGAGAUGGAAUUAAUUCAACCUGCUGCAUGGAAGUCAAAAUAUGAUCGCUUUACUGAUGUUGAAAUUAUUGUCACCACUCUUGAAGUUAGCCUGUAAAGGAUGCAAAGGAUAGAAUGAAAAUGCUUUCUUCAUUUCUUGUUCAUAUUUGUCUUUUUUGUU